This 237-nucleotide long non-coding RNA is filed under the name Mytilus galloprovincialis (Mediterranean mussel). Lineage: Eukaryota; Metazoa; Mollusca; Bivalvia; Mytilida; Mytilidae. The record is from RNAcentral.
UACGUAACAACUUAAAGAAUAUUAAUGAUUUUUGAGAUAAAAUAAAGUUCUGAUAAAAUUUAUCAUUGACUUUGUUUCAUAAACGUCAUGAUCAAUACAAACAUUACUGAUUAAUAUUUUAGUCUUAGAUACAUUAUUGUUUUAUUUGUUGUUUUUUGGCUUUAAUAGUGGACGGUUACUGCAAGUACUUCAUAUCUGUCCGUCUUGUUCAAUUUUUUUGUGUGAAUAUAUAAAUAU